GACGAACGCUGGCGGCGUGCCUAAUACAUGCAAGUCGAACGCAUUUUCUUUCAACGUGGCUUGCUACCCCGACAGAAAGUGAGUUGCGAACGGGUGAGUAACCCGUGGUUAACCUGCCCAUCAGCGGGGGAUAACACUUGGAAACAGGUGCUAAUACCUCAUAAUUCCAUUUUCCGCAGGGUAGAUGGGUGAAGGGCUCUUUUGCGUCCCUAUUGGAUCGACCUGCGGUGCAUUGGCUGGUUGGGGGGGUAACGGGCUACCAAGGCUGAGAUGCAUAGCCGACCUGAGGGGGGGAACGGCCACACUGGGAAUGAGACACGGCCCAGACUCCUACGGGAGGCAGCAGGAGGGAAUCUUCGGCAAGGGACGCAAGGCUGAACGAGGAACGCCGCGGGAGGGGAGAAGGGUCUCGGAUUGGAAAAAUCGGUUGUUAGAGAAGAAAAAGGAUGAGAGUGGAAAGUUCAUCUCUUGACGGUAGCUAACCAGAAAGCCACGGCUAACUACGUG
This 507-nucleotide ribosomal RNA is filed under the name uncultured bacterium. Its description in RNAcentral is "partial 16S ribosomal RNA". It matches the Rfam family "Bacterial small subunit ribosomal RNA", at positions 28 to 507 of the family's 1533-position model. The record is from RNAcentral.